Molecule: non-coding RNA, 87 nt
Filed under: Pseudomonas helmanticensis
Lineage: Bacteria; Pseudomonadati; Pseudomonadota; Gammaproteobacteria; Pseudomonadales; Pseudomonadaceae
Source: RNAcentral
CGUUAUGGUGGCUGUGCGUAGGGCGCCCUCGGGCGCGCCGGUUUCCCAGAUCCCCGGUCUACUAACCUGCGCAUAGCUGCCUCCACU